GACAAAUGGAAGAGAUGAUGAAAAUGAUUUAGAAAAUGAGUCGGACACAUAGAGAACCGUGAACACUUAGGGUACAUAUUUUUCAACUUUUAAUUUGUUUAAUUUCUUAUCGGUGAUAUAUAUCUAACUUUACUUUUAUGUAAUUUGUAGGUUUGGAAUUCUUUGAAUUUGGCAUCUCUAGCAAGAAUUAAGAGAUGAUGUAGUUUUUUUCCUUUUCAUGAAUUGUUUUGAACAUUUUAAACAACUUGUAAUUUUUGUUAUACAUUCAAAUUUAGUAUUUAAUUUUAUAAAUUGCAAAUUUUUU
This 304-nucleotide long non-coding RNA is filed under the name Cucumis sativus (cucumber). RNAcentral's name for it is "long non-coding RNA (CSAT_LNC001019)". Lineage: Eukaryota; Viridiplantae; Streptophyta; Magnoliopsida; Cucurbitales; Cucurbitaceae. The record is from RNAcentral.